UUAAUCUUAAUCUCUUCUCUGUGUGAUUUCCUUGGCAAUUUAAAAGAGGGGGCAUUUCAUGACGUAUAUCUCAUGUUGAUGGUCCAAUAAUGUCUAUUGUAUUUUUUUUAAGGCAUUAUAAUCCCCAAAGCAAUUCCAGUUAGCACUUUUGGAUGAUGACCUGUGAUGGUAUAGCUUACAAAUGAACUAGCCUUGCAUUAUUCAAAACGAUAUCCUAGAUGAAGCUAGAGUUGGACCAAAUGUAAAUAGAGUAUCUUAGAUGUCAAAGAUUCUCAAUUAAGAAAUUUUGUUAAAGUAAGUGUAUGCUGUUACUGCAAAACCGUGUAGCUUUCUUUCCCUCCUCUUUUUUGUCGAGUUUAACUAAUGGUUUCUUCAUUUGGUGGUCUUUGUAGGGUGGUUAUCCUACUAAUUAUUCUCCUUUUGAUUGUUUAUUAUGUAUUUUAUUUGAGUGAAGGAGGAAGCAUUCUGCUAAGUGUGCUCAAUUUCUUUUUCUUUCUUUACAAAAUGUAUUUUAUUAUAAAAAAGAACAAGAUGUCAUUAGAUUUAGAGCUUAAUCUUUUUAGAGUUUUUUUUUACCUCUUGCCUGUCUUAUGUUUGUGGGUUCAAUAUGUGCUGGUUGCUCUGUUGUAUUAUGAUGAUUUCACCUUUUAUUUGGGUUUAUCAUCCUGUGAUGUCAUCAUGCUUUGCAUGUCACUUUCAUUUCAUUUUUCUUUUUAUUGAAUAGAUCCACAAUGGAGCCACUUUUG
This 746-nucleotide unclassified non-coding RNA is filed under the name Hevea brasiliensis (rubber tree). Lineage: Eukaryota; Viridiplantae; Streptophyta; Magnoliopsida; Malpighiales; Euphorbiaceae. The record is from RNAcentral.